AUGCAGUUGAGCGCUGAAGGUUGGUACUUGUACCGACUGGAUGAGCAGCGAACGGGUGAGUAACGCGUGGGGAAUCUGCCUUUGAGCGGGGGACAACAUUUGGAAACGAAUGCUAAUACCGCAUAAAAACUUUAAACACAAGUUUUAAGUUUGAAAGAUGCAAUUGCAUCACUCAAAGAUGAUCCCGCGUUGUAUUAGCUAGUUGGUGAGGUAAAGGCUCACCAAGGCGAUGAUACAUAGCCGACCUGAGAGGGUGAUCGGCCACAUUGGGACUGAGACACGGCCCAAACUCCUACGGGAGGCAGCAGUAGGGAAUCUUCGGCAAUGGACGAAAGUCUGACCGAGCAACGCCGCGUGAGUGAAGAAGGUUUUCGGAUCGUAAAACUCUGUUGGUAGAGAAGAACGUUGGUGAGAGUGGAAAGCUCAUCAAGUGACGGUAACUACCCAGAAAGGGACGGCUAACUACGUGCCAGCAGCCGCGGUAAUACGUAGGUCCCGAGCGUUGUCCGGAUUUAUUGGGCGUAAAGCGAGCGCAGGUGGUUUAUUAAGUCUGGUGUAAAAGGCAGUGGCUCAACCAUUGUAUGCAUUGGAAACUGGUAGACUUGAGUGCAGGAGAGGAGAGUGGAAUUCCAUGUGUAGCGGUGAAAUGCGUAGAUAUAUGGAGGAACACCGGUGGCGAAAGCGGCUCUCUGGCCUGUAACUGACACUGAGGCUCGAAAGCGUGGGGAGCAAACAGGAUUAGAUACCCUGGUAGUCCACGCCGUAAACGAUGAGUGCUAGAUGUAGGGAGCUAUAAGUUCUCUGUAUCGCAGCUAACGCAAUAAGCACUCCGCCUGGGGGAGUACGA
This 847-nucleotide ribosomal RNA is filed under the name Lactococcus lactis subsp. lactis. Its description in RNAcentral is "bacterial SSU rRNA". It matches the Rfam family "Bacterial small subunit ribosomal RNA", at positions 55 to 885 of the family's 1533-position model. The record is from RNAcentral. Lineage: Bacteria; Bacillati; Bacillota; Bacilli; Lactobacillales; Streptococcaceae.